RNAcentral lists this ribosomal RNA (336 nucleotides) under uncultured eukaryote. Its description in RNAcentral is "SSU rRNA". It matches the Rfam family "Eukaryotic small subunit ribosomal RNA", at positions 587 to 972 of the family's 1831-position model. The record is from RNAcentral.
AGCUCCAAUAGCGUAUAUUAAAGUUGUUGCAGUUAAAAAGCUCGUAGUCGAAACUAUACGCUUGCGACGCAGUCUCUUAUCAUUAGAGCGCAACGCGGGCGCGGGCUGCAAAGCCUCUGUUACUUUGAGAAAAUUUGAGUGUUUCAAGCGGGCCAGAGCUGAAAUAGUGUACCAUGGAAUAACAUAGUGGCUGUCCCACUCUUUCAUUCGGUUUUGAUGGGAUAGUACGUGGUUGAUAGGAGCGGUCGGGGCACUUCGUAUUGAACAGUCAGAGGUGAAAUUCUUAGAUUUGUUCAAGACGAACUGAUGCGAAAGCGUUGUGCUGGCACGUUUUCU